RNAcentral lists this ribosomal RNA (440 nucleotides) under uncultured bacterium. RNAcentral's name for it is "bacterial SSU rRNA". It matches the Rfam family "Bacterial small subunit ribosomal RNA", at positions 338 to 795 of the family's 1533-position model. The record is from RNAcentral.
CCUACGGGAGGCAGCAGUGGGGAAUAUUGGACAAUGGGCGCAAGCCUGAUCCAGCAAUGCCGCGUGGGUGAAGAAGGUCUUCGGAUCGUAAAGCCCUUUCGACAGGGACGAUGAUGACGGUACCUGUAGAAGAAGCCCCGGCUAACUUCGUGCCAGCAGCCGCGGUAAUACGAAGGGGGCUAGCGUUGCUCGGAAUUACUGGGCGUAAAGGGCGCGUAGGCGGCUUAGUCAGUCAGGCGUGAAAUUCCUGGGCUUAACCUGGGGGCUGCGCUUGAUACGGCUAGGCUUGAGGGUAGGAGAGGGUCGUGGAAUUCCCAGUGUAGAGGUGAAAUUCGUAGAUAUUGGGAAGAACACCGGUGGCGAAGGCGGCGACCUGGCCUAUUACUGACGCUGAGGCGCGACAGCGUGGGGAGCAAACAGGAUUAGAUACCCCUGUAGUC